GAUCAGCACGCCGCGGUGAAUACGUUCCCGGGCCUUGUACACACCGCCCGUCACACCAUGGGAGUUGGCUUUACCCGAAGACGGUGCGCUAACCCAGCAAUGGGAGGCAGCCGGCCACGGUCAGGUCAGCGACUGGGGUGAAGUCGUAACAAGGUAGCCGUAGGGGAACCUGCGGCUGGAUCACCUCCUUU
RNAcentral lists this ribosomal RNA (191 nucleotides) under Azospirillum picis. RNAcentral describes it as "partial 16S ribosomal RNA". It matches the Rfam family "Bacterial small subunit ribosomal RNA", at positions 1347 to 1533 of the family's 1533-position model. Lineage: Bacteria; Pseudomonadati; Pseudomonadota; Alphaproteobacteria; Rhodospirillales; Azospirillaceae. The record is from RNAcentral.